Molecule: long non-coding RNA, 767 nt
Organism: Alligator sinensis (Chinese alligator)
Lineage: Eukaryota; Metazoa; Chordata; Crocodylia; Alligatoridae
Exons: 3
Source: RefSeq, a predicted model, not a curated record
AACGUUGGCGGCUCUGAGCUUCAUGAACCUGUGACUGUGCCUGGCUUCUGAUUAUCAUCUAUUAUUUUCUCUUUGUUCCUGUAUUGGGUCUUGCCCUUGCCUGUCUGCUGGUUCCUGCUCUGGCUUGUAAUUUUGAGUUUUGGCUCUCAGUUCCUGUUUUGGAUCCUGGCAAAAUCUUUUCCUAGCACCUGACCUAGAACCUGCCACAAUCUGGAACUGCUUACCUUCUGAUUUCUAUCACAGGGUUUGAUUAUUGUUCCUGAUUCCAGCCCCUUGGGUUGACUCCUGACUUUGUGGGCCCUCCUUUCCAGAAUGUGAGAAAAGUGAUCAUAUAAGAAGACAUAAUUUUUUCUCAGUCCUAUACCUGGUAGCACUGAAGGAAGCAAGAGGAAAGAAGUAUAUUCCAUUUCUAAAACUCCACUUGUAACACUGCCACUGGGGACAUGUAGGCUACAGAGGCAAGCUGCCGCCGAUGCAUGCACAGACAGGAAUGUGAAUGCCUGCAGGACUGCAGUCAUUGGCUCUGUGAGAUGGUGAGACAGAUCAUCUGGCUACAGGCAAAUUCAUGGCUGUUCAGUGCGACAGAAAUCACUCCAAAUCCAGGAGGCAUUUCCAGACCCAGGAGGACUGGUGAAUAAUGGCUGGGUUCCUUGCAACAAUUCUAUGCCUGCUGGUCAUCAGCCCCGUUCCUGCCUGAGAGCAGGACAGUAGGGGCCAAGCUCUGCCAUCCACCAGUUUGCAGUCAAGGUCAGAAAGUCCACCUUAGA